Molecule: ribosomal RNA, 384 nt
Filed under: Apocephalus sp. 516 JMH-2018
Lineage: Eukaryota; Metazoa; Arthropoda; Insecta; Diptera; Phoridae
Description: partial 16S ribosomal RNA
Rfam family: Archaeal large subunit ribosomal RNA (bases 1-154)
Source: RNAcentral
GUUUAUCAAAAACAUGUCUUUUAGAAAUAUAUUAAAAGUCUAAUCUGCCCACUGAAUUUUAAAUGGCCGCAGUAUUUUAACUGUGCAAAGGUAGCAUAAUCAUUAGUCUUUUAAUUGGAGGCUGGAAUGAAUGAUUGAAUGAGAUAUAAACUGUUUCAUAAAAAUUUAUAGUAUAAUUUUAUUUUUUAGUUAAAAAGCUAAAAUUUAAUUAAAAGACGAGAAGACCCUAUAAAUCUUUAUAUUUUAUUGGGGUGAUAUUAAAAUUUAAUUAACUUUUAAUAAAUUAUGUACAUUAAUUUAUGUUUUUUUGAUCCAUAAUUAAUGAUUAAAAAAUUAAGUUACUUUAGGGAUAACAGCGUAAUUUUUUUUGAUAGUUCAUAUUGA